Molecule: regulatory RNA element, 163 nt
Organism: Hespellia stercorisuis DSM 15480
Lineage: Bacteria; Bacillati; Bacillota; Clostridia; Lachnospirales; Lachnospiraceae
Rfam family: DUF2800 RNA
About the family: Actinobacteria, Firmicutes, Synergistetes (1 example). Terminator (Clostridia)
Source: Rfam
CCAUCAAAUGGUGCGUUCCCUGAUCUGGAACGGCUCAACGCUAUGCGACGGUAGAACUUAAUACACUCAGCUGACUAUUGAGCAGGAAGCUGCAUUCCGAAACGGAGCAAUCUGUGAAGGACUGCGGUAUGGUAUCUUGUUGCCAUUUUCGGUCAGCUGCCAC